AGAACGAACGCUGGCGGCAGGCCUAACACAUGCAAGUCGAACGCCCCGCAAGGGGAGUGGCAGACGGGUGAGUAACGCGUGGGAACCUUCCCUAUGGUUCGGAAUAGCUCAGGGAAACCUGGGGUAAUACCGGAUAAGCCCUUCGGGGGAAAGAUUUAUCGCCAUUGGAUGGGCCCGCGUAGGAUUAGCUAGUUGGUGAGGUAACGGCUCACCAAGGCGACGAUCCUUAGCUGGUCUGAGAGGAUGAUCAGCCACACUGGGACUGAGACACGGCCCAGACUCCUACGGGAGGCAGCAGUGGGGAAUAUUGGACAAUGGGCGAAAGCCUGAUCCAGCCAUGCCGCGUGAGUGACGAAGGCCUUAGGGUGUAAAGCUCUUUUGGCGGGGAAGAGUAAUGACGGUACCCGCGAGAAUAAGCUCCGGCUAACUUCGUGCCAGCAGCCGC
This 445-nucleotide ribosomal RNA is filed under the name uncultured soil bacterium. Its description in RNAcentral is "bacterial SSU rRNA". It matches the Rfam family "Bacterial small subunit ribosomal RNA", at positions 26 to 518 of the family's 1533-position model. The record is from RNAcentral.